This 191-nucleotide non-coding RNA is filed under the name Lachnospiraceae bacterium. RNAcentral describes it as "6S RNA". It matches the Rfam family "6S / SsrS RNA". From Rfam's summary of the family: E. coli 6S RNA was the first non coding RNA to be sequenced, but its function was unknown until recently. It consists of 184 nucleotides that fold into an extended hairpin structure with a large single-stranded internal bulge. The 6S RNA specifically associates with RNA polymerase holoenzyme containing the sigma70 specificity factor. Lineage: Bacteria; Bacillati; Bacillota; Clostridia; Lachnospirales; Lachnospiraceae. The record is from RNAcentral.
AAAAACCUGGGAUGUUCGACAACUUGUUUAUUUUGAACCUACAUUUUUUAUAAGGGAACCCCAUACACUGCUUGAUAUGUCAGGCCCCAAGAUAAUUCCCUUUGGGCGGGGGAAGGCAUUAUCAGUGGUUGCGGAUACCCACCUAGCGUUAGCUAGGUGUCAAAAGGCAGGAACGGCAUUCUGGGUUACAA